RNAcentral lists this ribosomal RNA (460 nucleotides) under uncultured bacterium. Its description in RNAcentral is "partial 16S ribosomal RNA". It matches the Rfam family "Bacterial small subunit ribosomal RNA", at positions 338 to 795 of the family's 1533-position model. The record is from RNAcentral.
CCUACGGGUGGCUGCAGUGAGGAAUAUUGGUCAAUGGACGCAAGUCUGAACCAGCCAUGCCGCGUGCAGGAUGACGGCUCUAUGAGUUGUAAACUGCUUUUGUACGAGGGUAAACCCCGAUACGUGUAUCGGGUUGAAAGUAUCGUACGAAUAAGGAUCGGCUAACUCCGUGCCAGCAGCCGCGGUAAUACGGAGGAUCCGAGCGUUAUCCGGAUUUAUUGGGUUUAAAGGGUGCGUAGGCGGUCAGGUAAGUUAGAGGUGAAAGCUCGAUGCUCAACAUCGAAACUGCCUCUGAUACUGUCUGACUAGAGUGUAGUUGCGGAAGGCGGAAUGUGUGGUGUAGCGGUGAAAUGCUUAGAUAUCACACAGAACACCGAUUGCGAAGGCAGCUUUCCAAGCUAUUACUGACGCUGAGGCACGAAAGCGUGGGGAGCGAACAGGAUUAGAUACCCUAGUAGUC